UCCCUUCAUCUGUCCCCCUUCCACACUGCUACCUCCUCUACCCCUGUUUCCAUCCCUGCCCGGACCUUCUCCUGAUAUCUCCCGAUAAUCACUGGAGCUUUGAGCCACUUCCCCACUGUGGGCUCUUGAGGGGCUCAGAGACCCCACAAGCAACCAUCUGGGGUGAAACGGCCCGACUGAGAAGAGGAAUUGAAACUCACCCACUAACACUUUGUAUUUGUCACACCCAGAACUUCCUCUUUGAAGGCAAGAAGGUUUCAAAGGCCCCAGACUCUUCACCCCAAUUUUCUCUCUUAAAGAAAUGUGUUCAAAAGUAUAGUAGGUUGAAAACAAUCACAUUACAUUUACUACCAUUAGCCAUACACCAGCGUAUGGGACAGCAGGGGUAUGCAAAUUCUCAUUGCCAUACAACGCAUCUCUAGCACCUGUUCAUUUUGUGACUGAACAUCUGUACCCACAGCUCUGCGUUUCCUCUUCCCUGCCCCCACGGGAUCCCAUCGUUCUUUCUGUUUCUAUAAAUUUGACUACUUUAGAUACCACGUGUAAGGAGAAUCAUAGGGUAUUUGUCUUUCUGUGACUUGCUCAUUUCAUUUGGCAGAAGGGCCAGAAUAUCCUUCUUUUCUAAGAUGGAAGAACAUUCCGUUGUUAUGUAGAUGCCUCCGGUUCUUUCUCCAUUCCUGUGUGUGGGGACAUGUGGGUGCUUGACUCUGGAGAAGAACACUGCAUCGAACGGGGAUGUGCAAGUGUCCUUCGUCACGUUGCUUCCAAUUCUUGGAAGUGAUGUAACAUCGGGAGUGAGACGGCUCCAUCACGUGAGAGAGAGAGAGAGUGAGUGCAAGUGGGGCAGGAAGGGGCAGAGGGAAAGAGAGAGAAUCUGAAGGAAGCUUCACACCCAGUUUGGAGCCCAAAGUGGGGCUCGAUCUCACGACCCUGAGAUCACGGUCUGAGCUGAAAUCAAGCGUCGGAUGCUUAACCAACUGAGAUGCCCAGAAGCGACAAGUUGAGUGUCAUCGUCGGAAAACAGGCAGCUGAUGGUCCAUUGCCAACGUGACCCUUUCGUCCAGAUGAUUCUUCGAGACUCUCUGGGUAUGACCCAAGCCAUAUAUCUGAAAGCACAUCGUACAUGUGGACUCACAGAGUCAGUCUCUUCAAGCUCCAUGAGGAAAGGAAGAGAGGACAAAAUGUGGUUUGGAUCCCCUUCAUUCUACUCGGCCCGUAAAGUACAGACAUGGAGUCAUUUCCCUUGAACACAGAACACAGGGAAGAAGAAAGGAUGC
Long non-coding RNA from Mirounga angustirostris (Northern elephant seal), 1277 nucleotides. RefSeq lists it as uncharacterized. Lineage: Eukaryota; Metazoa; Chordata; Mammalia; Carnivora; Phocidae. The record is from RefSeq and is a predicted model, not a curated record. The transcript is spliced from 4 exons.